Molecule: long non-coding RNA, 1235 nt
Organism: Oncorhynchus keta (chum salmon)
Lineage: Eukaryota; Metazoa; Chordata; Actinopteri; Salmoniformes; Salmonidae
Exons: 3
Source: RefSeq, a predicted model, not a curated record
AAUGACUGAACAGUAUAUGAGUGUGUUAGUCCUAGCCCAUGUAGACUAACGGGUCAUUGAUAAUGACUGAACAGUAUAUGAGUGUGUUAGUCCUAGCCCAUGUAGACUAACGGGUUAUUGAUAAUGACUGAACAGUAUAUGAGUGGGUUAACGACACCUCUGAGUGUGUUAGUCCUAGCCCAUGUAGACUAACGGGUCAUUGAUAAUGACUGAACAGUAUAUGAGUGUGUUAGUCCUAGCCCAUGUAGACUAACGGGUCAUUGAUAAUGACUGAACAGUAUAUGAGUGUGUUAGUCCUAGCCCAUGUAGAUUAACAGGUCAUUGAUAAUGACUGAACAGUAUAUGAGUGGGUUAACGAUGCUUCGGAGUGUGUUAGUCCUAGCCCAUGUAGACUAACAGGUCAUUGAUAAUGACUGAACAGUAUAUGAGUGGGUUAACGAUGCCUCUGAGUGUGUUAGUUCCCAACCUGAUAUAGUUCCACCAUCUUCUACCCUUGAUUUGGCAGUGCCUUCUGGAUUGCCAGGUAGCCUAGUGGGGCAGCAGGUAGCCUAGUGGUUAGAGUGUUGGACGAGUAACCGAAAGGUUACAAGAUUGAAUCCCCGAGCUGAUAAGGUAAAUAUGUGUCAUUCUGACCCUAAACAAGGCAGUUAACCCACUGUUCCUAGGCAGUCAUUGAAAAUAAGAUGUUGCCUGGUUAAAUAAAGCCAUAUCAUUUUCCUCAGGCCAAAAGCAAGGUGAAAUUCUGCCAUUCAUUUGGAAUAUGAUCACAGAGCCACAAGGGGUGCAUUUUAAAAAGGGCAAUUCUAGGAAUAUCACAAAACCAGAAGUGUAGUGUUACACAUGCCUUCAUCCACUCAGGACCCUAACUGAACUAUGCUUUAAAACACAGCAACUCAAUGUUUUUUUUAUUGGGAGCAGUGGGUUAGGGGAGGGCCUAGGGCUGUGCUGUCAAUCAGAGGAGUUGCAAAGACCUCUCCGUCCACCAUUUACAGAACUAUUUCUCCCCACCACACGGCUGCCUCGGGAUGGGUUUCAGUCUCCCCACCACAAGGCUGCCUCGGGAUGGGUUUCAGUCUCCCCACCACACGGCUGCCUCGGGAUGGGUUUCAGUCUCCCCACCACACGGCUGCCUCGGGAUGGGUUUCAGUCUCCCCACCACACGGCUGCCUCGGGAUGGGUUUCAGUCUCCCCACCACACGGCUGCCUCGGGCAUGGGUUUCAGUCUCCCCACCACA